ACGGGUGAGUAACGCGUGGGAAUCUACCUAGUUCUACGGAACAACAGAGGGAAACUUCUGCUAAUACCGUAUACGCCCUACGGGGGAAAGAUUUAUCGGAAUUAGAUGAGCCCGCGUAAGAUUAGCUAGUUGGUGGGGUAAUGGCCUACCAAGGCGACGAUCUUUAGCUGGUCUGAGAGGAUGAUCAGCCACACUGGGACUGAGACACGGCCCAGACUCCUACGGGAGGCAGCAGUGGGGAAUAUUGGACAAUGGGCGCAAGCCUGAUCCAGCCAUGCCGCGUGAGUGAUGAAGGCCUUAGGGUUGUAAAGCUCUUUCAGUGGGGAAGAUAAUGACGGUACCCACAGAAGAAGCCCCGGCUAACUUCGUGCCAGCAGCCGCGGUAAUACGAAGGGGGCUAGCGUUGUUCGGAUUUACUGGGCGUAAAGCGCACGUAGGCGGAUUGGUCAGUUAGAGGUGAAAUCCCGAAGCUCAACUUCGGAACUGCCUUUAAUACUGCCAAUCUAGAGUCCGGAAGAGGUGAGUGGAACUCCUAGUGUAGAGGUGGAAUUCGUAGA
This 557-nucleotide ribosomal RNA is filed under the name Devosia sp. BvIRHM002. Its description in RNAcentral is "bacterial SSU rRNA". It matches the Rfam family "Bacterial small subunit ribosomal RNA", at positions 102 to 694 of the family's 1533-position model. RNAcentral also lists the same sequence under 55 other names. The record is from RNAcentral. Lineage: Bacteria; Pseudomonadati; Pseudomonadota; Alphaproteobacteria; Hyphomicrobiales; Devosiaceae.